UAGGGAAUCUUCCGCAAUGGGCGAAAGCCUGACGGAGCAACGCCGCGUGAGUGAUGAAGGUCUUCGGAUCGUAAAACUCUGUUAUUAGGGAAGAACAAAUGUGUAAGUAACUAUGCACGUCUUGACGGUACCUAAUCAGAAAGCCACGGCUAACUACGUGCCAGCAGCCGCGGUAAUACGUAGGUGGCAAGCGUUAUCCGGAAUUAUUGGGCGUAAAGCGCGCGUAGGCGGUUUUUUAAGUCUGAUGUGAAAGCCCACGGCUCAACCGUUGAGGGUCAUUGGAAACUGGAAAACUUGAGUGCAGAAGAGGAAAGUGGAAUUCCAUGUGUAGCGGUGAAAUGCGCAGAGAUAUGGAGAAACACCAGUGGCGAAGGCGACUUUCUGGUCUGUAACUGACGCUGAUGUGCGAAAGCGUGGGGAUCAAACAGG
Molecule: ribosomal RNA, 429 nt
Filed under: Actinomycetes bacterium
Lineage: Bacteria; Bacillati; Actinomycetota; Actinomycetes
Description: Actinobacteria bacterium partial 16S ribosomal RNA
Rfam family: Bacterial small subunit ribosomal RNA
Source: RNAcentral